Molecule: ribosomal RNA, 861 nt
Filed under: uncultured Alphaproteobacteria bacterium
Lineage: Bacteria; Pseudomonadati; Pseudomonadota; Alphaproteobacteria
Description: bacterial SSU rRNA
Rfam family: Bacterial small subunit ribosomal RNA
Source: RNAcentral
AGAGUUUGAUCCUGGCUCAGAACGAACGCUGGCGGCAGGCCUAACACAUGCAAGUCGAACGCUGCAGCAAUGCAGAGUGGCAGACGGGUGAGUAACGCGUGGGAACCUUCCCAGUGGUACGGAAUAGCCCAGGGAAACUUGGGGUAAUACCGUAUACGCCCCUAGGGGGAAAGAUUUAUCGCCAUUGGAUGGGCCCGCGUCGGAUUAGCUAGUUGGUGAGGUAACGGCUCACCAAGGCGACGAUCCGUAGCUGGUCUGAGAGGAUGAUCAGCCACACUGGGACUGAGACACGGCCCAGACUCCUACGGGAGGCAGCAGUGGGGAAUAUUGGACAAUGGGCGAAAGCCUGAUCCAGCCAUGCCGCGUGAGUGACGAAGGCCUUAGGGUUGUAAAGCUCUUUUGGCGGGGACGAUAAUGACGGUACCCGCAGAAUAAGCUCCGGCUAACUUCGUGCCAGCAGCCGCGGUAAUACGAAGGGAGCUAGCGUUGUUCGGAAUCACUGGGCGUAAAGCGCACGUAGGCGGAUUUGUAAGUCAGGGGUGAAAUCCCGGGGCUCAACCUCGGAACUGCCUUUGAUACUGCAAAUCUCGAGUCCGGAAGAGGUGGGUGGAAUUCCUAGUGUAGAGGUGAAAUUCGUAGAUAUUAGGAAGAACACCGGUGGCGAAGGCGGCCCACUGGUCCGGUACUGACGCUGAAGUGCGAAAGCGUGGGGAGCCAACAGGAUUAGAUACCCUGGUAGUCCACGCCGUAAACGAUGGAUGCUAGCCGUCGGCAAGCUUGCUUGUCGGUGGCGCAGCUAACGCAUUAAGCAUCCCGCCUGGGGAGUACGGCCGCAAGGUUAAAACUCAAAGGAAUUGACGG